UAUAUACUCCGUCCAUCCCAAAAUUCUCGCCUUAGGGUUUUCUAGAAAUGGAUGUAUCUAUACUAAAACGUGACUAGAUACAUUCAUAUCUAGAUAAAUCUAAGACAAGAAUUUUGGUGCGGAGGGAGUAUUUA
This is a non-coding RNA of Hordeum vulgare subsp. vulgare (domesticated barley), 134 nucleotides long. NCBI's taxonomy places the organism in Eukaryota, Viridiplantae, Streptophyta, Magnoliopsida, Poales, Poaceae. The record is from Rfam.